Molecule: long non-coding RNA, 1950 nt
Filed under: Homo sapiens (human)
Lineage: Eukaryota; Metazoa; Chordata; Mammalia; Primates; Hominidae
Description: non-protein coding CDKN2B-AS1:75
Source: RNAcentral
GGAACAGCCGCGCUCCCGCGGAUUCUGGUGCUGCUCGCGUCCCCGCUCCCCUAUUCCCCUUAUUUUAUUCCUGGCUCCCCUCGUCGAAAGUCUUCCAUUCUUCAAACUAGAUUAUUUAAAAAUGAAAAAGGAAGAAAGGAAAGCGAGGUCAUCUCAUUGCUCUAUCCGCCAAUCAGGAGGCUGAAUGUCAGUUUUGAACUAAAAGCCGCUCCGCUCCUCUUCUAGAUUUGGAAAACAAGCGAAAUUAAACUAAACCGCUGCACGCCUCUGACGCGACAUCUGGACACGGCGCGGCGCUGGCGCUGCCGGAGCUGUCGACCCGGCCUGGCGCCGGACUAGGACUAUUUGCCACGACAUUUCAAAGGAUUCCAAGAGAGAAUAUUGGUGUCCAUGCUGUGAUGAUUCCUCAGCUCCUCUCAUCUGAUCUCCGUCCUGGCCCCCAUGACUUUCUUUGUGGUAGUUAGGGUGUGGUAUGUGCCACUGAGGCCCACACCUAUUGCUGUAAGUGCUGUUUGGGAAACCAUCAUCUUUCAGGUCUGUGUGAUAAAAGAAGAGCCUUGGGGAAAUGUUCUCUUCCAAAUUUAAUCUUUACAUUAUUAGAAAAUAUUUUGAUGACCUGUUUUCAAAUAUUUUCUUAUAACUUUCCAUUUUCAUGUGUUUAUUCUGACAGUUUAUUUUAUCUUGUAUUUAUAAUCACUAAGAUGUUAGUAUUGUAAUAUUAAUAUUACAUGAUUUAAAUUAGGAAAAAUGUGUUUUCUAUUACAAAAUGGAUAGUGGAUAAUUUAAGUAUAGAAAGUAAUAUUUUCUAUAUGGGACUAUUUCACUCUCUGUAAUAUCCUGAAUUCUAAUUCCCACUGUAGUGAGCUAUAACUUUACUAAUCAGUUUUCUUACAAUCGAUUUUAAGUCUAUUUUGUUAGAUCUAAAGACAUAAAGCCAAAAGUUCUUCUUGAAGAGAAGCACAUUUCAGUUACGUUUAUAACUUGAAAUAUCUGGUUUUACUCAAAACUCACAUGUCAUACUGAAAAACAGAAGGGAGAUGUUGUCUUUUCUUGAGGAGAGACUUCUCUGCAGUUAAACAGCUCACCACAUGUUUAGAGUACAUAGACAAUACACUUCCUCUUUUGUAAUGUAGAUUUCAGCUUUUUGCUUGUAGAAUUAUCAUUGGCGUGGAGGUUAUACAGGGGAAGUAGUGAAAAAUGUAGCCAAUACCAGGAACCUUAGGAAGUGUCUGAACUUCAUCUUUUCUGUGUUCCUUUGCCCUUAGGGGGUCAGUGUAAGAGUUUGGGCUAGGAAGAGAUUGCUUCUUUUACUCUAUUUAGUUUGUACUUCCUAUCUGGGUAUUUGACAAUAAAUGACUCAUUCUCUUUGUUUGCCCUGGUGUUGAAAAAUUUUCCCAUAUGCCAGAGAAAAAAUGUUACAGUGACACAAUGUAAAAUUGUAAGAGGUGGAAAAAGAUGAGGUAUGGACAUAGUGAAUGGAAGUUCAGCCCUUUAAAACUACUGGCAGAGUAGAUUUUACUCAGGCUUCAAUUAAGUAGACCUGAAUGUAAAUUCAGGUCUAGCUCUGCAACUUACUAGGUAAGUGACUUUAGUCCUCUUUAAGAUUUAGUUUCCUCAUUACAGGAUAUAAUAAUACUAUUUUUCUUAUGAGGUAAGUAUUAAUUGAAAUAGUAUAUGUACAUUCUAGCAUACAGUGAUCCCCUAAUAAAUGGAACUUAUCAUUAAUACAUUGCUAGGAAAAGAAAAACACAUCAGGGAACAAAAGAUAUAACUGUCUUAUUGAUAACAGGGGAUGGAUUCUUGUGGACAAAAAAAUUUAGAAUUGAAUUUUCAAGGGGUCAUUUCUUUCACCAGGUGUAGUUAGGUUUGCUCUUAUGGUAACAAUGAAUAUGUUUGUUUAGCUUCUUAAACCGGCAUCAUGGAACGUUAAUUAAUAAACAGAAUUCAAUG